CUUGCCAUUGGAGGGGAGUACCCCAUAAUCAGCAUUGAUCGUCAACACGGUUGCUUAGUGUAAAGCUCCCGGUCGUGCUGGCCGCCGUCGGUUGGUGGGGGAGACCUCUGGUUAAUCC
Molecule: small RNA, 118 nt
Filed under: Corynebacterium kutscheri
Lineage: Bacteria; Bacillati; Actinomycetota; Actinomycetes; Mycobacteriales; Corynebacteriaceae
Description: yybP-ykoY leader
Source: RNAcentral